This 434-nucleotide ribosomal RNA is filed under the name uncultured bacterium. Its description in RNAcentral is "partial 16S ribosomal RNA". It matches the Rfam family "Bacterial small subunit ribosomal RNA", at positions 29 to 507 of the family's 1533-position model. The record is from RNAcentral.
AGUGAACGCUGGCGGCAGGCCUAACACAUGCAAGUCGAACGAACCUUUCGGGGAUAGUGGCGGACGGGUGAGUAACACGUGGGAACGUGCCUCUAGGUUCGGAAUAACGCAGGGAAACCUGUGCAAAUAGCGAUAGCGGCCUUCGGGGGCAAUAUUAAUCGCAUUUCAAGCAGCCCGCGUCUGAUUAGUUAGUUGGAUGAGGUAAUGGCUCACCAAGGCGACGAUCAGUAGCUGGUCUGAGAGGAUGAUCAGCCACCUUGGGACUGAGACACGGCCCAAACUCCUUCGGGAGGCAGCAGUGGGGAAUCUUGCGCAAUGGGCGAAAGCCUGACGCAGCCAUGCCGCGUGAAUGAUGAAGGUCUUAGGAUUGUAAAAUUCUUUCACCGGGGACGAUAAUGACGGUACCCGGAGAAGAAGCCCCGGCUAACUUCGUG